ACAGGUGACCAAAGGGGAGCAGGGACUGAUGCCAACGUGCAUAUUAUUUUAUUUGGGAAUGAGGACAAGUCUGAGGUAUUUCAACUCUCUCAGCCACUGGAGCACCAAGACCCCUUUGAAAGAGGAAAGGUUGAUACAUUCAAGAUUACGACAAAAAAUUUAGGCAGCCUACACUCAAUUGAAAUUGGUCAUGAUGGGAAAGGAUUUGCGAGUGGCUGGUUUCUAGAAAAAGUAGAAAUCACAGAUGCAUCUAAGAAUUCAGUGUAUUGCUUCAACUGUAACAGGUGGCUUGCUGAGGACGAAAGCGAUGGCCGCACUGUAGUGCAACUUUAUCCACAGCUGCUUGAUUUCUGAUUCUUUCUGAGUGUGUUGCUUCUCCAAGUUCACGCGGAUUUGAUUUACUUGUAUUUUAUCAUUUUGAAGGUAUUGUAAUUACUGUGAAGGAAUGUCAAAACAAUGCAUUAAAAACAUCACAGUAAAUUAAACACGUCUAAUGUGAGCACAGCA
This is a long non-coding RNA of Calidris pugnax (ruff), 507 nucleotides long. RefSeq lists it as uncharacterized. NCBI's taxonomy places the organism in Eukaryota, Metazoa, Chordata, Aves, Charadriiformes, Scolopacidae. The record is from RefSeq and is a predicted model, not a curated record. The transcript has 4 exons.